RNAcentral lists this unclassified non-coding RNA (308 nucleotides) under plant metagenome. RNAcentral's name for it is "partial contains 5.8S ribosomal RNA, internal transcribed spacer 2, and large subunit ribosomal RNA". The stretch from base 1 to 106 matches the Rfam family "5.8S ribosomal RNA", at positions 50 to 154 of the family's 154-position model. The record is from RNAcentral.
GAAAUGCGAUAAGUAAUGCGAAUUGCAGAAUUUCCGUGAGUCAUCGAAUCUUUGAACGCACAUUGCGCCCAUUGGUAUUCCGAUGGGCAUGCCUGUUCGAGCGUCAUUUCAACCCUCAGAACCCCUUGCGGGAUCUGGCGUUGGGGAUUGGCAUCCAGCCAGCCCCGAAAUCUAGUGGCGGUCCCUCCGCGACCUCCCCUGUGCAGUAGCGAUACCUCGCAGCGGGACAGCGGUCUGACCACGCCGUAAAACCCCCAACUUCUCAAGGUUGACCUCGAAUCAGGUAGGAAUACCCGCUGAACUUAAGC